RNAcentral lists this ribosomal RNA (170 nucleotides) under Salmo trutta (river trout). RNAcentral's name for it is "partial small subunit ribosomal RNA". The record is from RNAcentral. Lineage: Eukaryota; Metazoa; Chordata; Actinopteri; Salmoniformes; Salmonidae. RNAcentral also lists the same sequence under 10 other names.
CACCGCGGUUAUACGAGAGACCCUAGUUGAUAACUACCGGCGUAAAGAGUGGUUACGGAAAAAUAUUCAAUAAAGCCGAACACCCCCUCAGCCGUCAUACGCACCUGGGGGCACGAAGAUCUACUGCGAAAGCAGCUUUAAUUAUGCCUGAACCCACGACAGCUACGACA